This 305-nucleotide ribosomal RNA is filed under the name uncultured bacterium. Its description in RNAcentral is "bacterial SSU rRNA". It matches the Rfam family "Bacterial small subunit ribosomal RNA", at positions 338 to 659 of the family's 1533-position model. The record is from RNAcentral.
CCUACGGGAGGCAGCAGUGGGGAAUAUUGCGCAAUGGGGGAAACCCUGAUGCAGCAACGCCGCGUGAAGGAAGACGGUUUUCGGAUUGUAAACUUCUGUUCUUAGUGAAGAAGAAUGACGGUAGCUAAGGAGCAAGCCACGGCUAACUACGUACCAGCAGCCGCGGUAAUACGUAGGUGGCAAGCGUUGUCCGGAAUUACUGGGUGUAAAGGGAGCGCAGGCGGGAAGCCAAGUCAGCUGUGAAAACUACGGGCUUAACUUGUAGACUGCAGUUGAAACUGGUUUUCUUGAGUGAAGUAGAGGUU